RNAcentral lists this ribosomal RNA (818 nucleotides) under uncultured Actinomycetes bacterium. RNAcentral's name for it is "bacterial SSU rRNA". It matches the Rfam family "Bacterial small subunit ribosomal RNA", at positions 70 to 889 of the family's 1533-position model. Lineage: Bacteria; Bacillati; Actinomycetota; Actinomycetes. The record is from RNAcentral.
CAUUCUGUAGCAAUACAGGGUGUGGGCGCGUGGCGAACGGGUGCGUAACACGUGGAUAACCUUCCUUGAGGUGGGGAAUAACCCAGUGAAAAUUGGGCUAAUACCGCAUAACAUCGCGAUGGCACAUGCUGAUGCGAUCAAAGGCGCAAGUCGCCACAAGAGGGAUCCGCGGCCGAUUAGCUUGUUGGCGAGGUAAUGGCUCACCAAGGCAAUGAUCGGUAGCCGGACUGAGAGGUUGGCCGGCCACACUGGAACUGAGACACGGUCCAGACUCCUACGGGAGGCAGCAGUGGGGAAUCUUGCACAAUGGACGAAAGUCUGAUGCAGCAACGCCGCGUGGGGGAUGAAGCUUCUCGGAGUGUAAACCCCUUUCGACCCGGAAGAAUGCCCGCAAGGGUAUGACGGUACGGGUAUAAGAAGCCCCGGCUAACUACGUGCCAGCAGCCGCGGUAAUACGUAGGGGGCCAGCGUUGCUCGGAAUUACUGGGCGUAAAGGGUCCGUAGGCGGUGUAGCAAGUCGAUAGUGAAAUCUCUGGGCUUAACCCAGAGGCUGCUAACGAAACUGCUGUGCUAGAGUGUGAGAGAGGCGAGUGGAAUUACGGGUGUAGCGGUGAAAUGCGUAGAUAUCCGUAGGAACAUCCGAGGCGAAGGCGGCUCGCUGGAUCACAACUGACGCUGAGGGACGAAAGCUAGGGGAGCAAACAGGAUUAGAUACCCUGGUAGUCCUAGCCCUAAACCAUCAGGACUUGGGGUUUGCCCUGUACGGGGCAAGUCCCGUAGCUAACGCGUUAAGUCCUGCGCCUGGGGAGUACGGUCGC